RNAcentral lists this ribosomal RNA (498 nucleotides) under uncultured bacterium. RNAcentral describes it as "bacterial SSU rRNA". It matches the Rfam family "Bacterial small subunit ribosomal RNA", at positions 501 to 1000 of the family's 1533-position model. The record is from RNAcentral.
CUACGUGCCAGCAGCCGCGGUAAUACGGAGGGUGCGAGCGUUAAUCGGAAUAACUGGGCGUAAAGGGCACGCAGGCGGUGACUUAAGUGAGGUGUGAAAGCCCCGGGCUUAACCUGGGAAUUGCAUUUCAUAUUGGGUCGCUAGAGUACUUUAGGGAGGGGUAGAAUUCCACGUGUAGCGGUGAAAUGCGUAGAGAUGUGGAGGAAUACCGAAGGCGAAGGCAGCCCCUUGGGAAUGUACUGACGCUCAUGUGCGAAAGCGUGGGGAGCAAACAGGAUUAGAUACCCUGGUAGUCCACGCUGUAAACGAUGUCGAUUUGGGGGUUGAGCUUUAAGCUUGGCGCCCGUAGCUAACGUGAUAAAUCGACCGCCUGGGGAGUACGGCCGCAAGGUUAAAACUCAAAUGAAUUGACGGGGGCCCGCACAAGCGGUGGAGCAUGUGGUUUAAUUCGAUGCAACGCGAAGAACCUUACCUACUCUUGACAUCCAGAGAACAUUC